Molecule: ribosomal RNA, 711 nt
Filed under: Serratia sp. INBio3713J
Lineage: Bacteria; Pseudomonadati; Pseudomonadota; Gammaproteobacteria; Enterobacterales; Yersiniaceae
Description: bacterial SSU rRNA
Rfam family: Bacterial small subunit ribosomal RNA
Source: RNAcentral
CGGCUACCAUGCAGUCGAGCGGUAGCACAGGGGUAGCUUGCUCCCUGGGUGACGAGCGGCGGAACGGGUGAGUAAUGUCUGGGAAACUGCCUGAUGGAGGGGGAUAACUACUGGAAACGGUAGCUAAUACCGCAUAACGUCGCAAGACCAAAGAGGGGGACCUUCGGGCCUCUUGCCAUCAGAUGUGCCCAGAUGGGAUUAGCUAGUAGGUGGGGUAAUGGCUCACCUAGGCGACGAUCCCUAGCUGGUCUGAGAGGAUGACCAGCCACACUGGAACUGAGACACGGUCCAGACUCCUACGGGAGGCAGCAGUGGGGAAUAUUGCACAAUGGGCGCAAGCCUGAUGCAGCCAUGCCGCGUGUGUGAAGAAGGCCUUCGGGUUGUAAAGCACUUUCAGCGAGGAGGAAGGUGGUGAACUUAAUACGUUCAUCAAUUGACGUUACUCGCAGAAGAAGCACCGGCUAACUCCGUGCCAGCAGCCGCGGUAAUACGGAGGGUGCAAGCGUUAAUCGGAAUUACUGGGCGUAAAGCGCACGCAGGCGGUUUGUUAAGUCAGAUGUGAAAUCCCCGGGCUCAACCUGGGAACUGCAUUUGAAAUCUGGCAAGCUAGAGUCUCGUAGAGGGGGGUAGAAUUCCAGGUGUACGCGGUGAAAUGCGUAGAGAUCUGGAGGAAUACCGGUGGCGAAGGCGGCCCCCUGAUCGAAGACUACG